Molecule: ribosomal RNA, 253 nt
Filed under: uncultured bacterium
Lineage: Bacteria
Description: partial 16S ribosomal RNA
Rfam family: Bacterial small subunit ribosomal RNA
Source: RNAcentral
UACGUAGGGGGCAAGCGUUGUCCGGAUUUAUUGGGCGUAAAGAGCGUGUAGGCGGCUAUGCAGGUCCGCUGUGAAAACUCGAGGCUCAACCUCGGGCCUGCAGUGGGUACGGGCAGACUGGAGUGCGGUAGGGGAGAAUGGAAUUCCUGGUGUAGCGGUGGAAUGCGCAGAUAUCAGGAGGAACACCGGUGGCGAAGGCGGGUCUCUGGGCAGUAACUGACGCUGAGGAGCGAAAGCGUGGGGAGCGAACAGG